GUAGGGCGCAAGCGUUAUCCGGAAUUAUUGGGCGUAAAGAGCUCGUACGCGGUUUGUCGCGUCUGCUGUGAAAUCCCGAGGCUCAACCUCGGGCCUGCAGUAGGUACGGGCAGACUAGAGUGCGGUAAGGGGGAUUGGAAUUCCUGGUGUAACGGUGGAAUGCGCAAAUAUCAGGAGGAACACCGAUGGCGAAGGCAGAUCUCUGGGCCGUAACUGACGCUGAGGAGCGAAAGGGUGGGGAGCAAACAGGCUUANAUACCCUGGUAGUCCACCCCGUAAACGUUGGGAACUAGUUGUGGGGUCCAUUCCACGGAUUCCGUGACGCAGCUAACGCAUUAAGUUCCCCGCCUGGGGAGUACGGCCGCAAGGCUAAAACUCAAAGGAAUUGACGGGGACCCGCACAAGCGGCGGAGCAUGCGGAUUAAUUUGAUGCAACGCGAANAACCUUACCAAGGCUUGACAUAUACNAGAACGGNCCAGAAAUGGUCNACUCUUUGGACACUCNNAAACAGGUGG
This 516-nucleotide ribosomal RNA is filed under the name bacterium symbiont of Megymenum gracilicorne. RNAcentral describes it as "bacterial SSU rRNA". It matches the Rfam family "Bacterial small subunit ribosomal RNA", at positions 527 to 1041 of the family's 1533-position model. The record is from RNAcentral.